Molecule: microRNA precursor, 122 nt
Filed under: Solanum lycopersicum (tomato)
Lineage: Eukaryota; Viridiplantae; Streptophyta; Magnoliopsida; Solanales; Solanaceae
Description: miR10531 stem-loop (sly-MIR10531)
Source: miRBase by way of RNAcentral
AUAUCUGGGGUCCUAGUAGAGUCGGUUCUACAUUGGGUGUUAAGUGUUUUGAGUAAUCAUCAUUGAAAGUAACAUACUUAAAACCCAAUGUUGAACUGACUCUACUCGGAUUCCAAAUAUCG